GGAGAGGUGCCGGAGCGGUUGAACGGGGCGGUCUCGAAAACCGUUGAACUCGCAAGAGUUCCCAGGGUUCGAAUCCCUGCCUCUCCGCCA
Molecule: transfer RNA, 90 nt
Filed under: bacterium
Lineage: Bacteria
Also listed under: 1 other name
Description: tRNA-Ser
Rfam family: tRNA
About the family: Transfer RNA (tRNA) molecules are approximately 80 nucleotides in length. Their secondary structure includes four short double-helical elements and three loops (D, anti-codon, and T loops). Further hydrogen bonds mediate the characteristic L-shaped molecular structure. tRNAs have two regions of fundamental functional importance: the anti-codon, which is responsible for specific mRNA codon recognition, and the 3' end, to which the tRNAs corresponding amino acid is attached (by aminoacyl-tRNA synthetases). tRNAs cope with the degeneracy of the genetic code in two manners: having more than one tRNA (with a specific anti-codon) for a particular amino acid; and 'wobble' base-pairing, i.e. permitting non-standard base-pairing at the 3rd anti-codon position.
Source: RNAcentral